RNAcentral lists this ribosomal RNA (960 nucleotides) under Acinetobacter sp. NF512. RNAcentral describes it as "bacterial SSU rRNA". It matches the Rfam family "Bacterial small subunit ribosomal RNA", at positions 76 to 1031 of the family's 1533-position model. The record is from RNAcentral. Lineage: Bacteria; Pseudomonadati; Pseudomonadota; Gammaproteobacteria; Moraxellales; Moraxellaceae.
GUGCUUGCCCUGAUUCCUAGCGGCGGACGGGUGAGUAAGGCUUAGGAAUCUGCCUAUUAGUGGGGGACAACGUUCCGAAAGGGACGCUAAUACCGCAUACGUCCUACGGGAGAAAGCAGGGGAUCUUCGGACCUUGCGCUAAUAGAUGAGCCUAAGUCGGAUUAGCUAGUUGGUGGGGUAAAGGCCUACCAAGGCGACGAUCUGUAGCGGGUCUGAGAGGAUGAUCCGCCACACUGGGACUGAGACACGGCCCAAACUCCUACGGGAGGCAGCAGUGGGGAAUAUUGGACAAUGGGGGGAACCCUGAUCCAGCCAUGCCGCGGGUGUGAAGAAGGCCUUUUGGUUGUAAAGCACUUUAAGCGAGGAGGAGGCUUACCUGGUUAAUACCUGGGAUAAGUGGACGUUACUCGCAAAAUAAGCACCGGCUAACUCUGUGCCAGCAGCCGCGGUAAUACAGAGGGUGCAAGCGUUAAUCGGAUUUACUGGGCGUAAAGCGCGCGUAGGUGGCUAAUUAAGUCAAAUGUGAAAUCCCCGAGCUUAACUUGGGAAUUGCAUUCGAUACUGGUUAGCUAGAGUAUGGGAGAGGAUGGUAGAAUUCCAGGUGUAGCGGUGAAAUGCGUAAAGAUCUGGAGGAAUACCGAUGGCGAAGGCAGCCAUCUGGCCUAAUACUGACACUGAGGUGCGAAAGCAUGGGGAGCAAACAGGAUUAGAUACCCUGGUAGUCCAUGCCGUAAACGAUGUCUACUAGCCGUUGGGGCCCUUGAGGCUUUAGUGGCGCAGCUAACGCGAUAAGUAGACCGCCUGGGGAGUACGGUCGCAAGACUAAAACUCAAAUGAAUUGACGGGGGCCCGCACAAGCGGUGGAGCAUGUGGUUUAAUUCGAUGCAACGCGAAGAACCUUACCUGGCCUUGACAUACAGAGAACUUUCCAGAGAUGGAUUGGUGCCUUCGGGAACUCUG